GUGAUACAUCGGCUAUCUCGGAUUCCUCCGUAAGAUAGGCCUCGUGGCUAACGGUCGCCAUAUUGCCUUGUAUUACUACUUUACUACCCAAAAGGUUGUCAGUCUAUUGUUAUGAGGCUGUAUACGAUGCGCGUUGAACUAGCGCCAAACUUUUUACCGAAACUUUGAUAUUAAGAGCACUAUUAACGUUCAUUCGUGUUGCAUUUUGACCUAUUAUCCAAGUGAUUUACUUUUCCAUUAUUAUUUAAUCACCCUAUCAUCCAAUUUUUAAGAUGAAAUUACGGUGUUUACAAAACCAACCAAACCGAAAGUGAAACUAGAUGCAUUACGUUUCGCGAUGUAAACAUUAAAUAUUUGUUCAGUUUGAGGAAGCGAAUCGAUAAUAGACGGUGGCAAUAUGUAUGCAAUACAGACUAUCAUUGCCGAUUGUAGUACUGGCUAAAAAAUACCUUUUAUGACAGGUAUACUGGAUUAUGAAAGACUGAUAAACAUAAAAUUGACAACUCAUCUCCCCAACGAUACUUUGUGUGGCUCAUUCUCAGAACAAACCCAUAGUCAGUGAGAAAACUACAGUGUAAAAAGACCACUUGAUUGUGACAAUUAUGGCUGACCAAGCAAAUGUUAUCAUUUAAAAUAAAGAAAACUUCCAGUUCAAUAUACAUUUUAUACCAAUUAUGACAUUGACCAACACAGAAAAUAAUUAUGAGGUUGAUUUUCCCAAAAUUGACUGUUAUAUAUAUAUAUAUAUAUACAUACACAUUAUAUACAUGUGUAUGCUUUGAUUUUUUUCUAUUGAAGCCAAAUUAAUAUCCCAUUAGAUAGAUAGAUAAUAUUACAGCAGUAUUCCUAGUUUGUCUGCAAGUACUGCAGAAAUCAUGGAUUAUUAUUUUACUGAGUCAGCCUUAAUCUUUAUAUUAUAAUUGUUAAAACAGAUUAAGAUAAGCCUAAUACAAUUGAGGAUGCAUCAAGAUUAAAAAAUGGUACACAUAUAAAUUAAUAAAGAAUCAAUAACAAUCAGAAACUGUGCAUUUUUUUCAGUAUUGUAUGAAAGGAUUUGAAGUAAUUAUGUGUUUUUGAAAUAUGAUUUAUGUGAAUUUGAAUAAAUAUAUAAAAUUUA
This is a long non-coding RNA of Dreissena polymorpha, 1117 nucleotides long. RefSeq lists it as uncharacterized. NCBI's taxonomy places the organism in Eukaryota, Metazoa, Mollusca, Bivalvia, Myida, Dreissenidae. The transcript has 2 exons. The record is from RefSeq and is a predicted model, not a curated record.